UACGUAGGGUGCGAGCGUUGUCCGGAAUUAUUGGGCGUAAAGAGCUCGUAGGCGGUCUGUCGCGUCGAUCGUGAAAACUUGGGGCUUAACCCUGAGCUUGCGGUCGAUACGGGCAUGACUGGAGUUCGGCAGGGGAGAACGGAAUUCCUGGUGUAGCGGUGAAAUGCGCAGAUAUCAGGAGGAACACCGGUGGCGAAAGCGACUCUCUGGACGGCAACUGACGCUGAGGCACGAAAGCGUGGGGAGCAAACAGG
Molecule: ribosomal RNA, 254 nt
Filed under: uncultured bacterium
Lineage: Bacteria
Description: partial 16S ribosomal RNA
Rfam family: Bacterial small subunit ribosomal RNA
Source: RNAcentral